Molecule: long non-coding RNA, 212 nt
Filed under: Lathyrus oleraceus (garden pea)
Lineage: Eukaryota; Viridiplantae; Streptophyta; Magnoliopsida; Fabales; Fabaceae
Description: Pisum sativum (pea) long non-coding RNA (PSAT_LNC033101)
Source: RNAcentral
AAUUAAUUAAAAUAGGCUAAUUAAAAUAAAAAUCAGAAAAUAGCAAAAAACGUGGACCACUUGAUCUCCCUCAUUAAUUGAGGUGGCAGAUCAAGUGGAUCAGCGCGCGCGUUCCAUGGUGCACUACAGUCAACGCGGCAUAUGCUUGGUAUUUAAAAGCAACGCACGAGAUUAAAACAUUUUAAACUCAUUUAAUGGCUCUGAACACUUCC